GGUCAGUGUGGUAUAGUGGUUUGAGCACUGGACUACAACUCUGGAGACCAGGGUUCAAAUCCCCCCUUGAGCA
Molecule: non-coding RNA, 73 nt
Organism: Phrynosoma platyrhinos (Desert horned lizard)
Lineage: Eukaryota; Metazoa; Chordata; Lepidosauria; Squamata; Phrynosomatidae
Source: the annotation of a GenBank genome assembly